AGCGCAGGCGGACCGGCAAGUUGGAAGUGAAAACUAAUGGGCUCAACCCAUAAAUUGCUUUCAAAACUGCUGGCCUUGAGUAGUGCAGAGGUAGGUGGGAAUUCCCGGUGUAGCGGUGGAAUGCGUAGAUAUCGGGAGGAACACCAGUGGCGAAGGCGACCUACUGGGCACCAACUGACGCUGAGGCUCGAAAGCGUGGGUAGCAAACA
RNAcentral lists this ribosomal RNA (209 nucleotides) under uncultured bacterium. RNAcentral describes it as "partial 16S ribosomal RNA". It matches the Rfam family "Bacterial small subunit ribosomal RNA", at positions 568 to 774 of the family's 1533-position model. The record is from RNAcentral.